RNAcentral lists this ribosomal RNA (496 nucleotides) under uncultured bacterium. RNAcentral's name for it is "partial 16S ribosomal RNA". It matches the Rfam family "Bacterial small subunit ribosomal RNA", at positions 29 to 507 of the family's 1533-position model. The record is from RNAcentral.
AUGAACGCUGGCGGCGUGCCUAAUACAUGCAAGUCGAGCGAACAGACGAGGAGCUUGCUCCUCUGACGUUAGCGGCGGACGGGUGAGUAACACGUGGAUAACCUACCUAUAAGACUGGGAUAACUUCGGGAAACCGGAGCUAAUACCGGAUAAUAUAUUGAACCGCAUGGUUCAAUAGUGAAAGACGGUUUUGCUGUCACUUAUAGAUGGAUCCGCGCCGCAUUAGCUAGUUGGUGAGGUAACGGCUUACCAAGGCAACGAUGCGUAGCCGACCUGAGAGGGUGAUCGGCCACACUGGAACUGAGACACGGUCCAGACUCCUACGGGAGGCAGCAGUAGGGAAUCUUCCGCAAUGGGCGAAAGCUUGACGGAGCAACGCCGCGUGAGUGAUGAAGGUCUUCGGAUCGUAAAACUCUGUUAUUAGGGAAGAACAAAUGUGUAAGUAACUAUGCACGUCUUGACGGUACCUAAUCAGAAAGCCACGGCUAACUACGUG